Dinoponera quadriceps is the source of this 2970-nucleotide long non-coding RNA. RefSeq lists it as uncharacterized. The record is from RefSeq and is a predicted model, not a curated record. The transcript has 2 exons. Lineage: Eukaryota; Metazoa; Arthropoda; Insecta; Hymenoptera; Formicidae.
CGCGCCGUCUCGCGGCCGAAUCGCCAAGCACUCGGCAUGGAUCCAGCUCCAUGUUCGCCCGUGAAAGCGAUGCGGUGUCCCCGCGGUUAGGUGGACGUGCGAUUCUCGUGUGUGCUGCGGGUACGCGCUGCGUAACGCGUCGUGCGAGCCGUGACGUGCGACCGUGCUACGCCGGGGUCCCCGUGCUCGGCGUUGUUGACUCGCGCGCGAGACAGUGCGUCGUCGGACAACCUCGUUUCGUGCGUCUCCGUGUGGCGUGGCGGCACAGCAGCAGUACCGGCGGCUACGAUCUCGACUCGCAGCAACGGCAGCAGCUACGAAGCGUCCACCCGCGAGGACCCCGUAGAAGCCGAUCACGGCUGCGGCGCGAGCUGGCGAGGGGGACUCGUCGUCGGAGCGUGUCGGCGACGGCGGCUGCGGCGGCGCGUGCUGCGAGGACGAGGUGAAUGCACGGCGGCCGCGGUGUGUGCCAGUGCUGGUGUGCGCGCUCGUCGCCCGUGGAAACCCGCCAAAACCCGCGGCCGCGAACAACCAACAGCACCAACAACAACAACAACGAUAUCGACAUCGUCGCUACGAGGGGUCGGAGUAUCUUCUCGGGUGCCGACGGCGACGACGACGACGGCGGCGGCGGCGGCGGCGACGGUGGUAGUAGUCGCGAGAGGGAUCAUCGUCUGAGCACUCACGACGCAUUGCCGCAGCGACGACGUUGUUGUUGUUGUCAUCAUCAUCGUCGCGGAGUCUCAUCGUCGUCUCGACGCAUCGGUGCGUUGCCGGUUAGCUGCGGCUGGAAGAAGUCGGCCAGCAGCGACUCCUGCCCAGCUCGCUGACAACGGCGGCUGCGUUCUGUUAUUAUUUUGCCGCGGUGCUUUUGACCCUUCGUACCGGGCGAGUUCAUUGCGGCGCUGUCGCGGGGGUGUCAGUCGGUAGUAACACAUCCACCGCGCUCUCUACCGCGUAUCCUCCACCUCCGUCCGUCCGUGCGUUCGUAGCAGCGCCGGCGUCGACGGAACGGCCGACGACGCGGAGGAUCGGGGCGCGUCCUUAAGAAGGCCGCUCGUCGGUCUCGCGGCUGCCGGGAGGACCCGACGGCACCGUGUUACCGGGAGCCAACGAGACGAGAUCGCCGGACCACGUGAUAUACGGUCAGUCAGCAAUCGUCCGCGUCAUGCGGUGCACGCACCACGCUCGCCGAUAAACCGUGUACCGCGCGCGCGCGCGUGUGUGUGUUCUGUGUAUGUGUGUGUGUAUAUUAUGUGUAUGUGCGUGUGAGAGAGAGACUACUCGCGGAGACCGGCACGCGUCCUCCAGCUGUCUCCCAGCCGGGGGAGACUCGAUAGUGCUUCGAGACGACGAUUGAUACGUCCAAGGGAGCGCGUUCCGGGACAACUUCAGCCGCCCGUUGGCUCUCGUGUCAUUGAAGUAUCUUCGCGGAGCGGAAGGCAACGAGGAGGAGCGAGAGGGAGGGAGCAAGGAAGAAGCCGCCGACUGUCAAAAACGGGCGUCGCGCGACGAGGUCGUCGGCCCGCCGGAAGUCGUCCGACAUUUUAGCGGCGGUGAGAGACGAGAGCGGAGACCACGCAGGUGUCCACGUGUGAGCCACCGCAGUCAUCGGCGACCAUCAACCACCACCACCGUCAUCGUUACCACUACCAUCGGCAGCGUCGCCAACACCACUACUACAGUCACACCGUCGCUGUACCGCCACCCACCCGCGCGCGACUUUGAUCGUCGCUUCCUCGGCCACUUCCCGCGCGCGAGAGAGAAGGAGAGACGCGCUGCUCGGCAGUUACACUCGAGAGUUUCACGGCCGCGACCCGAUUGCGAUCGGCGAAAGGAAAGAAGGCUCGCGAGAAGAGAGCGAAGAGGCGAUAAUCUCGCGUGCCUACGUGCGUGUGUGCGAGAGAGAGUCGCGAUCGGAACUCGCGCGUCUCUCUCUCUCCGUCGGUGGUCGUACAGUGCUUGCGCGUCGUGCCGCGCGUGCUACGUCCUUCUCGUUGUCGUGUGUCGUCAUCCGCGCGCAGCGGCGUUCUCUCCCGCGCCCGACAAAGAAAGCGCGAGAACGAACGAGCGAGCGCUCUCUCUCUCGUGCAUCCCAGUGACAGCGGCACGACGCCGAUAACCGCGCGCGCGAAGGUGCCGUUCCUCACCGCCUUCAGUGCCGUUCUCAGCGACGUGAGUUCUUCUCUUUCGCACGCCGCGGAAAGUACGUCCCGUUUUCGUCUCCCUCUCCGCGCGCGCGAUAGAGAGAGAGAGUGAGAGAGGGAGGAAGGAAGGAAGGAAGAAAGGAAGGAAGGAAGGAAGGAAGAAAGGAAGGAAGGACGGAAGGAAGGAAGAGCGACAGAGAGAGAAAGAGAACGGGAUCCCUCUUCCUGGUUUCUCUCCCCCUGAAGUGCGCGACUGUCGGGCAGUGGUGAAAACCGUGGUGCCGCGCCGUUCUACGUAUACAUAUGUAUAUACAUGAGUAUACUCGCAUCGUCGUUGUCGCCCAGUGUUCGCGAACGUGCUACUCCGGCGUGUGUUGAGUUUUCUUGUUUUCUUCGGCGACCAACCGACCGGACCUACCUGCCUGCUUGCCUGCCUCCGCCCCCCUCCACGCGUCAGUCUCUCUCUCUCUCACUCUCUCUGUCUGUUACACUCGGCCUCGCCAGCGUGUUUUCGAAUAUCGUUCGCGACGACGGCGACGACGAGGAGGAGAAGCUGACGGCGAGUGCGGCGGACAAAGAGAACGCGCUUCUGCAUUCGAGGGGGACACGCAUCUCGAACGCAUAUUCAAGGUAUCAUCGCAUCUCGCCUCGCCGCCGACAAAGCAUGAAGGCUGACAGCGACGCGAAGUGACCACCGGGCCUUUUCGCGUCCUCCUUCCUCACCCACCCCCUUCCGAAAUACGCACCAGCUGUGACAAACAGAAAACGAAGGCUGAAUCCUCCGACUAUAUGCAUAUAUAUUUAGAGAAAGAGGCAGGGAAAA